GUCUACAGCCAUGCCACCCUGAACGCUCCCGAUCUCGGAAGCUAAGCAGGGUCGUGCCUACUUAGUACUUGGAUAGGAGACCACCUGGGAAUACCAGGUGCUGUAGGCU
Molecule: ribosomal RNA, 109 nt
Filed under: Pteropus alecto (black flying fox)
Lineage: Eukaryota; Metazoa; Chordata; Mammalia; Chiroptera; Pteropodidae
Source: RNAcentral